UACGUAGGGGGCAAGCGUUGUCCGGAAUCAUUGGGCGUAAAGCGCGUGUAGGCGGUUCGGUAAGUCGGCUGUGAAAGUCCGGGGCUCAACCCCGGAUCUGCCGUGCCGACUGUCAAACUCGAGGGCUGUAGAGGCAGACGGAAUUCCGGGUGUAGCGGUGGAAUGCGUAGAGAUCCGGAAGAACACCGGUGGCGAAGGCGGCCCGCUGGGCAGGAACUGACGCUGAGGCGCGAAAGCGUGGGGAGCAAACAGG
This 253-nucleotide ribosomal RNA is filed under the name uncultured bacterium. Its description in RNAcentral is "partial 16S ribosomal RNA". It matches the Rfam family "Bacterial small subunit ribosomal RNA", at positions 524 to 776 of the family's 1533-position model. The record is from RNAcentral.